Molecule: ribosomal RNA, 471 nt
Filed under: uncultured Methanomicrobia archaeon
Lineage: Archaea; Methanobacteriati; Methanobacteriota; Methanomicrobia
Description: bacterial SSU rRNA
Rfam family: Archaeal small subunit ribosomal RNA
Source: RNAcentral
UUCCGGUUGAUCCUGCCAGCGGCCACCGCUAUAGGAAUUCGAUUAAGACAUGCGAGUCGAGAGUCGUAAUGGACUCGGCGGACUGCUCAGUAACACGUGGAUAACGUGCCCUUAAGAGGAGGAUAAUCUCGGGAAAUUGAGGAUAAUACUCCAUAGAUCAUGGGAUCUGGAAUGACCCAUGGUUCAAAGUUCCGGCGCUUAAGGAUCGGUCUGCGGCCUAUCAGGUAGUAGUAGGUGUAAUGUACCUACUAGCCUACGACGGGUAUGGGCCUUGAGAGAGGGAGCCCAGAGUUGGAUUCUGAGACACGAAUCCAGGCCCUACGGGGCGCAGCAGUCGCGAAAACUUCACAAUGGGGGCAACCCCGAUGAGGGAAUUCCUAGUGCUAGCACAUUUGUGUUAGCUUUUCUUUAGCUUAGAAAACUAGAGGAAUAAGGGCUGGGUAAGACGGGUGCCAGCCGCCGCGGUAAUAC